This 81-nucleotide transfer RNA is filed under the name Capra hircus (goat). It matches the Rfam family "tRNA". From Rfam's summary of the family: Transfer RNA (tRNA) molecules are approximately 80 nucleotides in length. Their secondary structure includes four short double-helical elements and three loops (D, anti-codon, and T loops). The record is from Rfam by way of RNAcentral. RNAcentral also lists the same sequence under 1 other name. Lineage: Eukaryota; Metazoa; Chordata; Mammalia; Artiodactyla; Bovidae.
UCCCAGGUGGCUCAGUGGUAGAGCAUCCACCUGCCAAGGCAGAAGAUGCGGGAGACCCGGGUUCGAUCCCUGGGUCGGGAA